CUACGGGGGGCUCCAGUGAGGAAUAUUGCACAAUGGGGGGAACCCUGAUGCAGCAACGCCGCGUGGAGGAUGACGCAUUUCGGUGUGUAAACUCCUUUUAUAUGUCAAGAAAAUGACGGUAGCAUAUGAAUAAGCACCGGCUAACUCCGUGCCAGCAGCCGCGGUAAUACGGAGGGUACAAGCGUUACUCGGAAUCACUGGGCGUAAAGGACGCGUAGGCGGGUUGGAAAGUCAGGUGUGAAAUCCUACAGCUUACCUGUAGAACUGCACUUGAAACUUCUAAUCUAGAGUAUGGGAGGGGAGAUGGAAUUAGUGGUGUAGGGGUAAAAUCCGUAGAUAUCACUAGGAAUACCUAAAGCGAAGGCGAUCUCCUGGAACAUUACUGACGCUAAGGCGUGAAAGCGUGGGGAGCAAACAGGAUUAGAUACCCGCGUAGUC
This 438-nucleotide ribosomal RNA is filed under the name uncultured bacterium. RNAcentral describes it as "partial 16S ribosomal RNA". It matches the Rfam family "Bacterial small subunit ribosomal RNA", at positions 339 to 795 of the family's 1533-position model. The record is from RNAcentral.